AACGUGGGGCUAAUACCGGAUAGGAGCUCCUGCUGCAUGGGUGGGGGUUGGAAAGUUUCGGCGGUUGGGGAUGGACUCGCGGCUUAUCAGCUUGUUGGUGGGGUAGUGGCUUACCAAGGCUUUGACGGGUAGCCGGCCUGAGAGGGUGACCGGCCACAUUGGGACUGAGAUACGGCCCAG
Molecule: ribosomal RNA, 180 nt
Filed under: uncultured Actinomycetales bacterium
Lineage: Bacteria; Bacillati; Actinomycetota; Actinomycetes; Actinomycetales
Description: partial 16S ribosomal RNA
Rfam family: Bacterial small subunit ribosomal RNA
Source: RNAcentral